This 730-nucleotide long non-coding RNA is filed under the name Cricetulus griseus (Chinese hamster). RNAcentral's name for it is "lncRNA (ENSCGRG00015040547.1)". Lineage: Eukaryota; Metazoa; Chordata; Mammalia; Rodentia; Cricetidae. The record is from RNAcentral.
CUGACAGCUAAAGGGGAGUUUGAUCAAUUUCGAUUUUCUGGUAAAUGAAGAAAAUCGCCCCUCCUGUUCUCCUUCACACACGCCCAUUUAUUCACGCUGCAAGUCGCUCAACACGCCUUCCUGAAAGCUGCUUUUUAGCAGGGGCAGCUAUACUGGUGUGCUGGGCUGAGUCUGAGGAGUGGGUGGGUGCCGGCCUGCCCUCGAGGAUCUCGGGUCGCUGCGGGGAGGCAGAUGACAGAAUCGAUGUUCCACGUGGGGGCUAAGCUGAGAGCUACAGCUGCACAGAGGGUCAUGGGUAUGAGUGGAUCUAGAGGUCAUGAUGACGCAGCGAACCAGGUCUCAAAGGUCCAGAAAAGUCACGAGAGGUCUAAAAGGGAGUUAACACAGAAAAGUCUCUAAAAUGUUUCCCGGGCCUAGUCGUCAUCCCGAGAAAUCCGGGCCGUUGACUCUUCUUGGGUAGGCGCUGUGGUUGUGGCCACAGGUGGACAUCUGGCUGAAAGUGAAACCCUGCCUCCAGGACAGACCUCCCUUUGUUGAUGCGGUUCAGCCCCUCCCCAGCCUGGUGCAGAUGGACACGAUGACCUGGCCAAUGUGAACCCUGGCCAUUGUGACCUAGGGCUUCCCAAAGAUGGCACACAUACCUGUCUGGAGCCUGUCAGCUCCAGCACAGGACAACAUCUUGUUGAUUUGGAUGACAUGAAAAUGGUGGAGCCUCACUGAAAUAUGAAAG